Molecule: unclassified non-coding RNA, 331 nt
Filed under: soil metagenome
Description: partial contains 5.8S ribosomal RNA, internal transcribed spacer 2, and large subunit ribosomal RNA
Rfam family: 5.8S ribosomal RNA (bases 1-120)
Source: RNAcentral
GAUGAAGAACGCAGCGAAAUGCGAUAAGUAAUGUGAAUUGCAGAAUUCAGUGAAUCAUCGAAUCUUUGAACGCACAUUGCGCCCCCUGGUAUUCCGGGGGGCAUGCCUGUUCGAGCGUCAUUUCACCACUCAAGCCUCGCUUGGUAUUGGGCAACGCGGUCCGCCGCGUGCCUCAAAUCGACCGGCUGGGUCUUCUGUCCCCUAAGCGUUGUGGAAACUUUCGCUAAAGGGUGUUCGGGAGGCUACGCCGUAAAACAACCCCAUUUCUAAGGUUGACCUCGGAUCAGGUAGGGAUACCCGCUGAACUUAAGCAUAUCAAUAAGCGGAAGGA